GAAUUUCCGUUUCCGGCGGUGUCCAAGCGGACCUAAGGAGUCGCAGUUGUGAACAGGUUAGAGUUACUUGUUAUUGGUAAAUAGCCACUAUGGAGACUAAGGACCAGAAGAAACACAGAAAGAAAAACAGUGGACCCAAAGCUGCAAAGAAAAAGAAGUGGCAUCUGCAGGAUCUCCAGCUAGGAGACGAAGAAAAUGCCCAGAAGAGAAAUGCCAAUGCUUUUGCAGUUCAGUCUGCUGUGUGGAUGUCUCGAUCCUUUCACAGGACUCUGGAUUUGAAGACACAAAAGCAUCAUAUUCCAGUGGUUGAUGGAACUCCACUAGAGCCGCCACCAAUAGCGGUAGUGGUGACGGGGCCUCCAAAGUUGGAAAGAGCACUUUGAUAUAAUGCCUCAUUCGGAACUUCACCUGGCAGAAGUUCACCGAGAUCAGAGGCCCUGUGACGAUCGUGUCAGGUAAAAAGCGCAGACUCACCAUUAUUGAAUGUGGGUGUGACAUUAACAUGAUGAUUGAUCUGGCUAAAGUAGCAGAUCUGGUACUGAUGCUUAUAGAUGCCAGCUUUGGGUUUGAAAUGGAAAUGUUUGAGUUUCUAAACAUCUGUCAAGCACAUGGCUUUCCUAAAAUUCUGGGAGUUCUCACCCACCUCGACUCCUUCAAGCAUAACAAGCAACUGAAGAAGACAAAGAAGUGAUUAAAACACAGGUUCUGGACAGAAGUUUACCAGGUUGCCAAACUGUUCUACCUUUCUGGAAUGGUGCAUGGAGAAUAUCAAAACCAAGAAAUCCACAAUCUGGGCCAUUUUAUUACAGUUAUGAAGUUUAGGCCUCUCAUGGCAAACUUUUCACCCUUAUAUCCUGGCAGACAGUUAAAAGGAUGGAAGAUUUGACAAACCCGGAGGAUAUCCAAACAAACAUCAAAUGUGACCUGCAGGUGUCACUUUAUGGUUAUUUAAGAGGAGCACACUUGAAAAAUAAAAGCCAAAUUCACAUGCCAGGACAAGGUGGGGCUCACCCAUGAGCUGGUCCAGAGUCUCAUCUCCACCUACUCCACCAUUGAUGCCAAGAUGGCUUCAAGUCGAGUGAUGCUGCUUUCCAAUUCCAAACCACUUGGGUCAGAGGCUAUAGAUAAUCAAGGAGAUGGCUUUGGAUUCCCUGUUCUGUGUGCUCCUGUCUGGCUCCUGAACCCAGCUGGAGAGGUGUGUCAAUCCCAACUGGUGAAGUACUGAGAGGAAGCUACACAAAAGGCAGCAAGGUGUUAAUAAGUGUACCUCUGACAUUUUAACCACCUCUGACUUUUCCAUGGAAUGGACAAGUAGUAGUCUCUGUCAGAGCAAUGUUUUAAAGGAAAAAAAGAAACUUGAGGUCGUAAACUGUUCAUUAAUUUAUGCUGUUAUUUUGUGUUUACUCAACUCAUUUAUAUUGACUUGUAAAUUAGUAAUUUAUGAACUACUAUUCAUCAAUUCAUUGCCUACAUGUCAGCAAACAAGUUUUCUUCUUAAUAAAGAAUCCGGUGGCUGGGCA
Homo sapiens (human) is the source of this 1520-nucleotide long non-coding RNA. Ensembl annotates it as BMS1 pseudogene 1. Its record names the gene BMS1P1. The record is from Ensembl. Lineage: Eukaryota; Metazoa; Chordata; Mammalia; Primates; Hominidae.